CAUUAGAUGGCUGAAUGCAAGCAAUGGUCUCUUAAACCAAUUUAUAGUAAAAUAGUAAUUACUUCUAAUG
RNAcentral lists this transfer RNA (70 nucleotides) under Curculionidae sp. 2 AH-2016. Its description in RNAcentral is "tRNA-Lys". The record is from RNAcentral. Lineage: Eukaryota; Metazoa; Arthropoda; Insecta; Coleoptera; Curculionidae.